CCUACGGGCGGCAGCAGUAGGGAAUUUUCCACAAUGGGCGAAAGCCUGAUGGAGCAACGCCGCGUGGGUGAAGAAGGUCUUCGGAUCGUAAAACCCUGUUGUUAGAGAAGAAAGUGCGUGAGAGUAACUGUUCACGUUUCGACGGUAUCUAACCAGAAAGCCACGGCUAACUACGUGCCAGCAGCCGCGGUAAUACGUAGGUGGCAAGCGUUAUCCGGAUUUAUUGGGCGUAAAGGGAACGCAGGCGGUUGUUUAAGUCUGAUGUGAAAGCCUUCGGCUUAACCGGGGUAGUGCAUUGGAAACGGGGAGACUGGAGUGCAGAAGAGGAGAGUGGAACUCCAUGUGUAGCGGUGAAAUGCGUAGAUAUAUGGAAGAACACCAGUGGCGAAGGCGGCUCUCUGGGCUGUAACUGACGCUGAGGUUCGAAAGCGUGGGUAGCAAACAGGAUUAGAUACCCUUGUAGUC
RNAcentral lists this ribosomal RNA (465 nucleotides) under uncultured bacterium. RNAcentral's name for it is "partial 16S ribosomal RNA". It matches the Rfam family "Bacterial small subunit ribosomal RNA", at positions 338 to 795 of the family's 1533-position model. The record is from RNAcentral.